RNAcentral lists this ribosomal RNA (443 nucleotides) under uncultured bacterium. Its description in RNAcentral is "partial 16S ribosomal RNA". It matches the Rfam family "Bacterial small subunit ribosomal RNA", at positions 338 to 795 of the family's 1533-position model. The record is from RNAcentral.
CCUACGGGAGGCAGCAGUGGGGGAUAUUGGACAAUGGGGGAAACCCUGAUCCAGCGACGCCGCGUGAGUGAAGAAGUAUCUCGGUAUGUAAAGCUCUGUCAGCAGGGAAGAAAGAAAUGACGGUACCUGACCAAGAAGCCUCGGCUAACUACGUGCAAGCAGCCGCGGUAAUACGUAGGGGGCAAGCGUUAUCCGGAAUUGCUGGGUGUAAAGGGAGCGUAGGCGGUGAUGCAAGUCUGGCGUGAAAGGCGGGGGCCCAACCCCCGGACAGCGCUUGAAACUGUGUAGCUUGAGUGCGGGAGAGGUAAGCGGAAUUCGUGGUGUAGCGGUGAAAUGCGUAGAUAUUAGGAAGAACACCGAUGGCGAAGGCAGCUUACUGGACUGUAACUGACGUUGAGGCUCGAAAGCGUGGGGAGCGAACAGGAUUAGAUACCCCGGUAGUC